UACGAAGGGGGCUAGCGUUGUUCGGAAUCACUGGGCGUAAAGGGCGCGUAGGCGGCUUUAUAAGUCGGGGGUGAAAGCCCGGGGCUCAACCUCGGAAUUGCCUUCGAUACUGGACAUCUUGAGUACGGGAGAGGUGAGUGGAACUCCGAGUGUAGAGGUGAAAUUCGUAGAUAUUCGGAAGAACACCAGUGGCGAAGGCGACUCACUGGCCCGUUACUGACGCUGAGGCGCGAAAGCGUGGGGAGCAAACGGG
RNAcentral lists this ribosomal RNA (253 nucleotides) under uncultured bacterium. RNAcentral describes it as "partial 16S ribosomal RNA". It matches the Rfam family "Bacterial small subunit ribosomal RNA", at positions 524 to 776 of the family's 1533-position model. The record is from RNAcentral.